GAUUUUAGUGAGUAAACGUGAAUCACGUAUGAAAAAUGAAAGGUUGUUCUCAUAUUUUCUACAUUUUUCCACUAAAAUAUCUUUUAAUUAAAUAAUCAAAAUAAUUAUUUGUAAUUUAGUCUACCAAUCACUAUUUCACACAAUUUCAUCCUUAAUCAUUAUCUUUUCCAUAAUUAUCUAAUUCAUGUAAUUACCAUUCU
Molecule: long non-coding RNA, 200 nt
Filed under: Gossypium barbadense (sea-island cotton)
Lineage: Eukaryota; Viridiplantae; Streptophyta; Magnoliopsida; Malvales; Malvaceae
Description: long non-coding RNA (GBAR_LNC006875)
Source: RNAcentral